This 1071-nucleotide ribosomal RNA is filed under the name Triticum aestivum (bread wheat). RNAcentral describes it as "partial small subunit ribosomal RNA". The record is from RNAcentral. Lineage: Eukaryota; Viridiplantae; Streptophyta; Magnoliopsida; Poales; Poaceae.
AUGGCAAACAGCAGCUCGACCUCACCGGAGAUCACGUCGAGAUGUGUCAGGAUCUGGGAGCAGACCGAAACGCUGAAUUUCGAGAUGACCAGUUACCUGCAGCUUAAGGGCAUGGGUGUCGGCCAGUUCGUUGCUUCGCCCGCCCUUGAAGUCGGCGGCUACAGUUGGGACAUCAUGUUCUACCCGGGUGGGGCCGAGGAGGACUGUGGCGACCACGCCUCGGCGUUUCUCUACCGUCACAGCAAGGACACGGAUCCGGGUGUGACCGGCAGCUUCACGCUGAGCAUCCGAGAGAAAAGGAGCCAGGCAAACGUAGCCAACUUCGAUGCGGUGAGGCGCGUCUUCGCUGCAAAUUUGCCAUGUGGCCACCACAAAUUCGUGGAGAGGUCCAAGCUGGAAGCGCUGUCGCAACUCGGGGACGGCUGCUUCACCAUACGGUGUGUCCUCACCGUCGUCACCGACGAGUCGCCCUUUCCGGAGCUGCCCAGCCAACUGUCCAGCAACCUCGUGGGCAUGCUCGAGGACGGGAGAGGCGCCGACGUCUCGUUCCGCGUGGGCAGCCACAAGUUCCUCGGGCACAGGUGCGUUCUGGCCGCGCAGUCGCCGGUGUUCAGAGCUCAAUUCUAUGGCCCCAUGGCGGAGAAGGACAAGCCGCGCGUCAAGGUCGUCGGCGUGGAGCCAGCCAUCUUCCAGAUGAUGCUUCGCUACCUUUAUACAGACAAGCUGCCGCCGCCGCCCGCUGAAGGCUACAGCGUCGCGGCGAUGCAGCACCUGAUGGUCGCGGCAGACAUGUAUGGGCUGGAGAGGCUGAAGCUCAUGUGUGAAGAUGAGCUGUGCAAGACUAUGGAUGCCGCGACCGUUAUGAGCACGUACGAGCUGGCGAAUCAGCACCACUGUAAUCGACUCAAGGAUGCGUGCGUAGAAUUUAUGUCGUCAAAAGAAGUGUUGGCCGCCAUCCUCGAGACCUACGUGAGCUUCAUGACACGUUGCCGACCAUUGCCAUUGGAGGGGGGUCAUGAAGAGGAAGAAGUUGAUCACAGCAGGAAAUUCAAAAGGACUCGUACAAAAUAG